AUACGUAGGGUGCGAGCGUUGUCCGGAAUUACUGGGCGUAAAGAGCUCGUAGGUGGUUUGUCGCGUCGUCUGUGAAAUUCCGGGGCUUAACUCCGGGCGUGCAGGCGAUACGGGCAUAACUUGAGUACUGUAGGGGGGACUGGAAUUCCUGGUGUAGCGGUGAAAUGCGCAGAUAUCAGGAGGAACACCGGUGGCGAAGGGGGGUCUCUGGGCAGUAACGGACGCUGAGGAGCGAAAGCAUGGGUAGCGAACAGGAUUAGAUACCCUGGUAGUCCAUGCCGUAAACGGUGGGCGCUAGGUGUAGGGGUCUUCCACGACUUCUGUGCCGUAGCUAACGCAUUAAGCGCCCCGCCUGGGGAGUACGGCCGCAAGGCUAAAACUCAAAGGAAUUGACGGGG
This 398-nucleotide ribosomal RNA is filed under the name uncultured bacterium. Its description in RNAcentral is "partial 16S ribosomal RNA". It matches the Rfam family "Bacterial small subunit ribosomal RNA", at positions 523 to 918 of the family's 1533-position model. The record is from RNAcentral.